CUACGGGGGGCUGCAGUGAGGAAUAUUGGACAAUGGUCGAAAGACUGAUCCAGCCAUGCCGCGUGCAGGAUGACUGCCCUAUGGGUUGUAAACUGCUUUUAUACGGGAAGAAAAACACCUACGUGUAGGUGACUGACGGUACCGUAAGAAUAAGGACCGGCUAACUCCGUGCCAGCAGCCGCGGUAAUACGGAGGGUCCAAGCGUUAUCCGGAAUCAUUGGGUUUAAAGGGUCCGUAGGCGGGCUAUUAAGUCAGAGGUGAAAGUUUGCAGCUCAACUGUAAAAUUGCCUUUGAUACUGAUAGUCUUGAAUUGUAGUGAAGUGGUUAGAAUAUGUGGUGUAGCGGUGAAAUGCAUAGAUAUCACAUAGAAUACCGAUUGCGAAGGCAGAUCACUAACUAUAUAUUGACGCUGAGGGACGAAAGCGUGGGGAGCGAACGGGAUUAGAUACCCCUGUAGUC
This 459-nucleotide ribosomal RNA is filed under the name uncultured bacterium. RNAcentral's name for it is "partial 16S ribosomal RNA". It matches the Rfam family "Bacterial small subunit ribosomal RNA", at positions 339 to 795 of the family's 1533-position model. The record is from RNAcentral.